Puntigrus tetrazona (Sumatra barb) is the source of this 394-nucleotide long non-coding RNA. RefSeq lists it as uncharacterized. NCBI's taxonomy places the organism in Eukaryota, Metazoa, Chordata, Actinopteri, Cypriniformes, Cyprinidae. The transcript has 3 exons. The record is from RefSeq and is a predicted model, not a curated record.
GGCACUGUUUUCAGUGAUAAACAGGAACACACAUUCAGUUCUGUUACUGAGUCUGACGCAGGUAAAUACUCCUGUUCUGGAUCAGAGAGAGGAGGAUCACGAACAUCACACAUCAGUGAAGAAGUUACUCUGACAGUAUCAGAUAAAGCCCUGGCAGUGUUAAGUGUUUCUCCACAGACGUGGUUGACUGAAGGAGAUCCAGUGACUCUGAUCUGUGAGGUUAAAGACUCCUCUACAGGCUGGACAUUCAGCUGGUUUUCUCUAACUCUCUCAUCAGACAGCAGCAGAGGAUCUGGAGGACUCUACUCUAUCAGUUCUGCUGUAAAUCACACAGGAGUUUAUGUGUGCAGAGCAGAGAGAGGAGAUCCAGUCUAUCACACAACCUUCAGCAACA